Molecule: unclassified non-coding RNA, 348 nt
Filed under: soil metagenome
Description: partial contains 5.8S ribosomal RNA, internal transcribed spacer 2, and large subunit ribosomal RNA
Rfam family: 5.8S ribosomal RNA (bases 1-120)
Source: RNAcentral
GAUGAAGAACGUAGCGAAAUGCGAUAAGUAAUGUGAAUUGCAGAAUUCAGUGAAUCAUCGAAUCUUUGAACGCACAUUGCGCCCGCCAGUAUUCUGGCGGGCAUGCCUGUCUGAGCGUCAUUUCAACCCUCAUGCCCCUAGGGCGUGGUGUUGGGGAUCGGCCAAAGCCCGCGACGGACGGCCGGCCCCUAAAUCUAGUGGCGGACCCGUCGUGGCCUCCUCUGCGAAGUAGUGAUAUUCCGCAUCGGAGAGCGAUGAGCCCCUGCCGUUAAACCCCCAACUUUCCAAGGUUGACCUCAGAUCAGGUAGGAAUACCCGCUGAACUUAAGCAUAUCAAUAAGCGGAGGA